RNAcentral lists this ribosomal RNA (2756 nucleotides) under Escherichia coli. Its description in RNAcentral is "23S ribosomal RNA". It matches the Rfam family "Bacterial large subunit ribosomal RNA". The record is from RNAcentral. Lineage: Bacteria; Pseudomonadati; Pseudomonadota; Gammaproteobacteria; Enterobacterales; Enterobacteriaceae.
GCGAUGAAGGACGUGCUAAUCUACGAUAAGCGUCCCGGUAGGUGAUGAACAAAGACGCAGCGGCGUUUUAGGGCUGAAGCCCGGUAAUGUUUAUUACACUAUAAACUGAAUCCACUUGGAAGUUAAUAGGGCUGAACCAGGGAACUGAAACAUCUAAGUACCGAGAAAAAUCAAACUGAGAUUCCCCAGUAGCGGCUUGAGCAGACGGGGAGCAACCAGAGCUGAAUCAAUUUGUUGAGUAGGCUGAAGGCGUGCAGGUGUGGCCCGUACACAAAUGCACAUGCUGUGGGAGGCUCCGGUGGGUAGGGCGGGACACGUGGUAUCCCUGUACGAAUAUGGGGGACAAUACAUCCUCCCAUUUCCAUCUCUGACACCGAUAGUGAACCAGUACCGUGAGGGAAAGGCGAAAAGAACCCAGGGGAGUGAAAAAGGAACAGAACAAGUAUGCGGCAAGCAGUGGGAGCACACUUCCCCGGCGUGUGACUUUUACGUACUGCUAUAAUGGGUCAGCGUAUUCUGCGGGGUUGGCCGAAUACCUGCUAGGGAGCCGAAGAGCCGGGAGUGCUGGGCGUUGGUUACUGCGGGAGUAUGGAGCCAGAGCCAGUGAUCUGGCGGGCAGGUUGGUUGGUGACACUAACUUUGGAGGAGGACCAGACAAGGCCAAUGUUGAAAAUUAGCGGAUGACUUGGCAGGGUGAAAGGCCAAACCAGGAGAUAGCUGGUUCUCCCAAAGCUGUUGGUGGCGCCUCGUGGGUGUCUCCAGGGGUAGAGCACGCCCGUAGGGUCAUCUUCCAGGCUUGCAGCCCAUUCAAGCAAACUACGAAUACAAGAUGCCAUGCGGGGAACACCGCAUGGUGCUAGCAUUCUGUCUUGUGAAAACAAGCCCGGGCCCUCCAACUAAGGUCCAGAAGUCUGGUGCAGGUGGGGCUUGUUGAGAGGAGGAAUGCAGGAACAACCAGCUGGGAUGUAGCUUAAAACGUAUGCAUUUCCAAAGAAGCAUGGCUGCUGAUCUGGAAGUCAGCCACCUGCAGGAGAUGCUCAACCGGGGCUGAAGCCGCACUGGCAACCUUAAGUGCAUUUGUUGGGUAGAGGGCGUUCUGCAAGCCAUAGAGACACGGCAGGGGCAUGCUGGAGGUAUCGAAGUGCACGAAUGCUGACGCUGAAGUGGUAAACCGGGUGAAAGAGCACUCGCCAGGAGACUGGGUUCCUAUUCGGCGUUAAUCAGGGCAGGGUAGGUCGACCCAGGCAGGCCAGAGGCGGCGUAGUCGAUGAAACAGGUUAAUAUUCCUGUACCCAGUGUUGCAGGGGAUGGAGGCUAUAUUGGCCGGGCGGGGUUGUCCGGUUUUGUAUAUGAAGGCUGGUUUCCGGAGCAGUGAGGAAAAUCAGAGGCUGAGGCAGUGACUGAGGCACUUCUGGUGCUGAAGCAGCAAUCUCUACUUCCAGGAAAAGCCUCUGAAAACAUCAGGUAACAUCAAAUCUUCAGCCGAGCUGGGUGAAUGGGUAAGAAGUACCCAGGGCGCCAGGAAAUGGUGAGGAACCCAGGCCAGGCUGGUGCCAUGUGGGAGAAGGCAUGAUGUGCGGGAGAUUGAGGUCCCACUGCGGAUGGAGCUGAAAUCAGUUCGAAAGGCCUGCCAAGCCAGCUGCAACUGACUUAUUAAAACGCUUUCGGCCGGCGAGAGGCUGGACGUGCCGGUCGGCGCGGUGCAGGAGAGAGUUGCAGUGAUGGGGUUGGCUGGCGGCUCCGUCGAAGAGCCCCAGUAAAACGGCCGCCAUUCUCUUUCGGUCCUGGGUGGCGAAAUUCUUGUCAGGUGAGUUCCGGUACUGAUAAUGUGGCGUUGUCUCACGGUUCGGUGAGGUGUUUCAUGGCGAGAUCUGAACAAUACUUGCGGCGGGAAUGGAAAGACCCGUAGACGCUGCUAAAGCGACGCGAACGACGACGCGGUGUAUGGGGUGGGAGGCUUUGGUGGCAGACGCCAGAUCACCAUAGACCGACGAAAAUACCACCUUUAAUGUUUUACGGUAUUUAACGUUAUUAUGAGAAAAUCCGGGUUGCGGACGAUCUCUGGUGAGUGGACGUUUGACUGGGGCGGUCUGCCACAAAAGGUAACGGAGAACUGAAGGUUGGCAAUCUGGUCGAGAGGACAUCGGAGGUUGAUGCAAUGGCGCGCCAAACCAACGACUGCGAGCGUGACGGCGCGAGCAGGUUACCAGCACAGAUCAUAGUGAUCAGUGGUUCUGAAUGGAAGGGAGACCAUCAACUCAACGGAUAAAGGUACUCCGGGGUUAUGGGGCAUUACCGCAAGGGGAAGUUCUUAUCGACGAAAAAUUGGCACCGAUGUCAGCUCAUGUACAUCUGCCGGGGCUGAAGUAGGUCCCAAGGGUAUGGCUGUUCGCCAUUUAAAGUGGUACGCGAGCUGGGUUUAGAACGUCGUGAGACAGUUCGGUCCCUAUCUGCCGUGGGCGCUGGAGAACUGAGGGGGGCUGCUCCUAGUACGAGAGGACCGGAGUGGACGCAUCACUGGUGUUCGGGUUGUCAUGCCAAUGGCACUGCCCGGUAGCUAAAUGCGGAAGAGAUAAGUGCUGAAAGCAUCUAAGCACGAAACUUGCCCCGAGAUGAGUUCUCCCUGACUCCUUGAGAGUCCUGAAGGAACGUUGAAGACGACGACGUUGAUAGGCCGGGUGUGUAAGCGCAGCGAUGCGUUGAGCUAACCGGUACUAAUGAACCGUGAGGCUUAACCUUACAACGCCGAAGCUGUU